CACGUAGGCGGUCUGCUAAGUUCGGAGUGACAGUCACCAGCUUAAACUGGUGAAGUACUUUGAAAACUGGCGGACUUGAGAGCGAAAGAGGGACACGGAAUUCCGGGUGGAGCAGUGAAAUGUGUAGAGAUCCGGAGGAACACCAAAGGCGAAGGCAGUGUCCUGGCUCGUUUCUGACGCUGAGGUGCGAAAGCCAGGGGAGCGAACGGGAUUAGAUACCCCGGUAGUCCUGGCCGUAAACGAUGACCACUAGGCGUGGGAGGGAUCGACCCCUUCCGUGCCGUAGUCAACACAUUAAGUGGUCCGCCUGGGGAGUACGGUCGCAAGACUAAA
Molecule: ribosomal RNA, 333 nt
Filed under: uncultured bacterium
Lineage: Bacteria
Description: bacterial SSU rRNA
Rfam family: Bacterial small subunit ribosomal RNA
Source: RNAcentral